RNAcentral lists this ribosomal RNA (30 nucleotides) under Pleurothecium recurvatum. RNAcentral's name for it is "partial large subunit ribosomal RNA". The record is from RNAcentral. Lineage: Eukaryota; Fungi; Ascomycota; Sordariomycetes; Pleurotheciales; Pleurotheciaceae.
UUGGCCUCGGUCGGACAAGAUUACCNGCUG